RNAcentral lists this ribosomal RNA (359 nucleotides) under uncultured soil bacterium. RNAcentral's name for it is "bacterial SSU rRNA". It matches the Rfam family "Bacterial small subunit ribosomal RNA", at positions 26 to 377 of the family's 1533-position model. The record is from RNAcentral.
AGAGUGAACGCUGGCGGUAGGCCUAACACAUGCAAGUCGAACGGCAGCACAGUGGUAGCAAUACCAUGGGUGGCGAGUGGCGGACGGGUGAGGAAUACAUCGGAAUCUACCUUUUCGUGGGGGAUGACGUAGGGAAACUUACGCUAAUACCGCAUACGCCCUUCGGGGGAAAGCCGGGACCAGCAAUGGCCUGGUGCUGAUAGAUGAGCCGAUGUCGGAUUAGCUAGUUGGUGAGGUAAUGGCUCACCAAGGCGACGAUCCGUAGCUGGUCUGAGAGGAUGAUCAGCCACACUGGAACUGAGACACGGUCCAGACUCCGUACGGGAGCAGCAGGUGGGGAAUAGUUGGACAAGUGGGCG